GAGAUGAUUUCUCACAUCUCCCAUGCAGAGUAACGAUGCAGAGAAGAUUAGCAUGGCCCCUGCGCAAGGACGACACGCAAAUUCGUGAAGCGUUACUUUAAAAA
Molecule: small nuclear RNA, 104 nt
Organism: Chrysemys picta bellii (western painted turtle)
Lineage: Eukaryota; Metazoa; Chordata; Testudines; Emydidae
Source: Ensembl